GGUAGUCCACGCCGUAAACGAUGUCGACUUGGAGGUUGUGCCCUUGAGGCGUGGCUUCCGGAGUUAACGCGUUAAGUCGACCGCCUGGGGAGUACGGCCGCAAGGUUAAAACUCAAAUGAAUUGACGGGGGCCCGCACAAGCGGUGGAGCAUGUGGUUUAAUUCGAUGCAACGCGAAGAACCUUACCUACUCUUGACAUCCAGAGAACUUAGCAGAGAUGCUUUGGUGCCUUCGGGAACUCUGAGACAGGUGCUGCAUGGCUGUCGUCAGCUCGUGUUGUGAAAUGUUGGGUUAAGUCCCGCAACGAGCGCAACCCUUAUCCUUUGUUGCCAGCGGUUAGGCCGGGAACUCAAAGGAGACUGCCAGUGAUAAACUGGAGGAAGGUGGGGAUGACGUCAAGUCAUCAUGGCCCUUACGAGUAGGGCUACACACGUGCUACAAUGGCGCAUACAAAGAGAAGCGACCUCGCGAGAGCAAGCGGACCUCAUAAAGUGCGUCGUAGUCCGGAUUGGAGUCUGCAACUCGACUCCAUGAAGUCGGAAUCGCUAGUAAUCGUAGAUCAGAAUGCUACGGUGAAUACGUUCCCGGGCCUUGUACACACCGCCCGUCACACCAUGGGAGUGGGUUGCAAAAGAAGUAGGUAGCUUAACCUUCGGGAGGGCGCUUACCACUUUGUGAUUCAUGACUGGGGUGAAGUCGUAACAAGGUAACCGUAGGGGAACCUGC
This 726-nucleotide ribosomal RNA is filed under the name uncultured bacterium. RNAcentral's name for it is "bacterial SSU rRNA". It matches the Rfam family "Bacterial small subunit ribosomal RNA", at positions 789 to 1515 of the family's 1533-position model. The record is from RNAcentral.